UGCUAUUACAUCACUUCCGCGAUUCAAACUGAACGUCAACCAAUCUGAGUCGGCGCGAGCAACGAAUCGGCAGAAAGCGUCGGGGAAGGGGUCAGAUCACUGACUAUCACAAUACCGGCACCUCCACAUCAUGAGUAACUAUCGAGAGAGAGGGUCAUAGGAGGAGUCAUAUCAUUGACUCGAGAGAGAGGACCUGGUUCAUUGAUGAGAGGGAUCGGUCACGGGGAGGAUCCGGAUCAUCGACUAUGCAGAGGGUCAAAGGGAGGACCGAUAUCAUUGACAAUAGAGAGAGAAGUAAGAGUCAGAGGGAGGACCCAGAUCAUUGAAUAGGUUGAGAGAGAGGGACUGAGGGAAGACCCAGAUCACUGAUUACACGGAGAGAAAGCGAGAACUAAGGGAGGAUACCGGUCAUUGGCUACACACAUUUGAGAGAGAACAUCAAUGGCGCACAGGGAAAAUCCAUAUGGUUAACCAUAGAGAAAAACAGUCCAGGUCAUAAAAGAGAGAAAUCGAAAGUCAAUAGAGAUCACAGAUUUAGAUAAUCUGGAUUACCGAGAGAAAGCAAGAGAGAGUCCUGAGUCAAAGACAACGGAGAGAGACAGUUAAGAUCAUAGAUUGGAACAGAAGACGAAGGCAAUGCAUAUCUGCCUCCCCUACAUCCAACCCCCUCCCCCCAAUUCCAUCCCCACCAUCAGCAUAAACAUCUCCAUUUCCCAGCUGCUUUGGUUAUCAGACUUGAAACAUUAACACUGUUUCUUUUCCACAGAGGCUGCCAGACUUGCUGAGAUUCCCCAUCAUUUUUUGUCUUUGUUUCAGAUCUACAGCAUCUGCAGUUCUUUGUUUUAUUUUUGUUGCUUGACCAAGUCUGUGGAGUAGCUUUCCUAAAUUCAGUAGUAAUUCCCGGAUAUUAAUGUGAAUGCCUUUACAAGGUCCAAAUGGCAGAGUAUGCCACUGUUAUGUACUGAUUUGUUGCUUAGUUUGCAGCUAAUAAAUCUAUUUUGAGCAUUGACUGUUUUUCCUAGAAUUCUGAGCUACUUCAGAGAGUUGAUAUCAGUCAACAAUAUUGGAGUCGAACACAGCUAUAUCAGGUCCUCAAAGAAGUGAUCUCUGCCUGAUCGACUUGUGGUCAAAGGUGUUUUCAACACAAAUUCUGCAGAAGGAACAGAUGGUACAGCAAAAUCCAACUAAUUGAAACAUUCUGUGGAAAUGUGGCCAGACCCAUUUUUCAUAACUGCAUGGACAGACCUUCAGAGAAAACAGAUGAUGCCUCAGGAGUGAGGAAUUGGCCAGACCUGUACCAUGUACAGCAAGACCAAGAGAACCUCACAUCUGAUGACCACGUUCUUUACAACAAUGGAGAGGGACCUCUGCUUUCACACAAUCAGUUUUUGUUUAACUGUGGUUACUUGGUCCUCCCAGUUUUUAGCACACUGCCCAAACACUUUGAACCAAAUCCCGAGCACCUGACAGUGCAGGAGACAAAAGAUCAGUUGACUUUGUUCUUGCCUCAACAUACCUUGGCUCCCAAAGACAGUUCAAACAGUCUGCUCACUGACAGUAGACCUGAGCAGAAGAAGGUGAUGCCAUCCACAUAAAGGGAGGCUUUAACCUGAGUUCUAUCAGUACCCAGGAUCGUCACCCUUCUGAUGUUUGCAUUCUUCCUGAUGGACUUUACAAAAGGCUCUGCAUGAUACACAACACAGAAGGCACCCCUGCUUGUGUGCAGGUUUGAUUGGAAACCUCUCUGUUUAUCAGCCAUUGAUUGAAACUACAUGACUGUUGUUUUAUGUAAAGCAGUUGUAUCUAAUUGCAGAUUUCCUCCCCAGGCACCAUUUCAGAGAGCAUUUCCAUUGUGUAAGACAGUGAUUCUGUGUCAAAGUCCUCUCCUGCUCCAGGCUGAUGGGGCAGCAGUUUGGCCCCCUGUCCAGUACAUAGGCAAUCGUAUCCCUGAGCAUGUUGCUGUUGGAGGUCUUCCAGCAAAGGGGGAGGCGAUGGCCUAGUGGUACUAUCACUAGUCCACUAAUCCAGAAAUUCAAGUAAUGUCCUGGGAACCCAGGUUCA
This is a long non-coding RNA of Rhincodon typus (whale shark), 2061 nucleotides long. RefSeq lists it as uncharacterized. The record is from RefSeq and is a predicted model, not a curated record. NCBI's taxonomy places the organism in Eukaryota, Metazoa, Chordata, Chondrichthyes, Orectolobiformes, Rhincodontidae. The transcript is spliced from 3 exons.